AUUGAACGCUGGCGGCAUGCCUUACACAUGCAAGUCGAACGGUAGCAGGCCUUCGGGCGCUGACGAGUGGCGGACGGGUGAGUAACGCGUAGGAAUCUGCCUGUUAGUGGGGGACAACUUAGGGAAACUUAAGCUAAUACCGCAUACGCCCUACGGGGGAAAGGAGGGGACCUUCGGGCCUUCCGCUAACAGAUGAGCCUGCGUUGGAUUAGCUAGUUGGUAGGGUAAAGGCCUACCAAGGCGACGAUCCAUAGCUGGUCUGAGAGGACGAUCAGCCACACUGGGACUGAGACACGGCCCAGACUCCUACGGGAGGCAGCAGUGGGGAAUAUUGGACAAUGGGCGCAAGCCUGAUCCAGCAAUACCGCGUGUGUGAAGAAGGCCCGAGGGUUGUAAAGCACUUUCAAUAGGGAGGAACACCUGCUGAUUAAUACUUGGCAGACUGACAUUACCUAUACAAGAAGCACCGGCUAACUCCGUGCCAGCAGCCGCGGUAA
RNAcentral lists this ribosomal RNA (497 nucleotides) under uncultured bacterium. RNAcentral's name for it is "partial 16S ribosomal RNA". It matches the Rfam family "Bacterial small subunit ribosomal RNA", at positions 30 to 523 of the family's 1533-position model. The record is from RNAcentral.